AUUGAACGCUGGCGGCGUGCCUAACACAUGCAAGUCGAGCGGUAACAGGUGUAGCAAUACAUGCUGACGAGCGGCGGACGGGUGAGUAACGCUUGGGAAUCUGCCUGUUAGUGGGGGACAACCCGGGGAAACUCGGGCUAAUACCGCAUACGCACUACGGUGGAAAGCCGGGGACCGCAAGGCCUGGCGCUAACAGAUGAGCCCAAGUCGGAUUAGCUAGUUGGUAGGGUAACGGCCACCAAGGCGACGAUCCGUAACUGGUCUGAGAGGACGACCAGUCACACCGGAACUGAGACACGGUCCGGACUCCUACGGGAGGCAGCAGUGGGGAAUAUUGGACAAUGGCGAAAGCCUGAUCCAGCGACGCCGCGUGGGUGAAGAAGGCCUGCGGGUUGUAAAGCCCUUUCGGUGGGGAAGAAAAGCCUCGAGUUAACACCUCGGGGUCUUGACGUAACCCAUAGAAGAAGCACCGGCUAACUCUGUGCCAGCCGCCGCUGUAAG
RNAcentral lists this ribosomal RNA (501 nucleotides) under uncultured bacterium. RNAcentral's name for it is "bacterial SSU rRNA". It matches the Rfam family "Bacterial small subunit ribosomal RNA", at positions 29 to 524 of the family's 1533-position model. The record is from RNAcentral.